AAAUUGAAGAGUUUGAUCAUGGCUCAGAUUGAACGCUGGCGGCAGGCCUAACACAUGCAAGUCGAACGGUAACAGGAAGCAGCUUGCUGUUUCGCUGACGAGUGGCGGACGGGUGAG
Molecule: ribosomal RNA, 117 nt
Filed under: Escherichia coli
Lineage: Bacteria; Pseudomonadati; Pseudomonadota; Gammaproteobacteria; Enterobacterales; Enterobacteriaceae
Also listed under: 3 other names
Description: partial 16S ribosomal RNA
Rfam family: Bacterial small subunit ribosomal RNA
Source: RNAcentral